CACGUCCCGCCACCAUUGGAGAUUCCCCGAUCCAAAAGAGCCAUGAAACCCCUCAGGUUUCUAGUUUAGGCCAUGGAAAAGAAGGGGGGACGAGUAUUCGGAGGGCGAAAUAUGAGCUUUCUCACUUGAACUUAGUGAGAGAGAGGUUUGUUUCAGAGAAAUGAAAAUGAAAAGGGGGAAAGGAAAUAGUUUUUUUGGUUUUUUU
This 205-nucleotide long non-coding RNA is filed under the name Gossypium barbadense (sea-island cotton). RNAcentral describes it as "long non-coding RNA (GBAR_LNC002960)". Lineage: Eukaryota; Viridiplantae; Streptophyta; Magnoliopsida; Malvales; Malvaceae. The record is from RNAcentral.